GGCAGUGCUAGGCGGGGAUGCUCUGGGGCAAAGUCUGCAGCCGCCGCGCGUGAGCCUGGGGCUGCCGCUCCGCUGGUGUUACACGGUGUUACACCAGACGUUGAAGACUCGCUGAUUUUCGGACUUCCCAGCAAGAACGAGAAAGUAUAUCAUUUCCUUGUGAUCAUGCCUUUCUCAUUUUCCUUGAAUCUUUGGCUCCGCUGAGAGCUGGGAGCAGAGAUCAAAGGAGGAAAGCCGAGGGGCUGUGCUUAAGCAUCUGUGAGAGAGGAACUUGGAGACUCAAGCCACUUGCGGUCACCCCUCUCAGCCUGUAAUGUUUUUUAUGGCCUAAGCAUCCCCUACAUGACCUCCCGGUGGUCUCGGUAACCAUCUGGCACAGUGCUUUGAAAUUAACACUUUGAUCUGGAAUCCAUAGAACAACAGUUCCUGCUUGUUGCCACAUAUUUACAGAUGAGACAACUGGGAUGCAGUAAUAGUGCAAAACAGGUGGCAUCUUCAGGAAGAGCUAAGCUACUAAGGCCAACACCAGGAUUCUUUGGAUCCAUUGUCUCCCUGCUCUAUCUCUCCACACCCAAGAUUCUGUGUUAGGAAUGUGACUGGUGGGAGCACUGGAAAUGAGGUGCAGUGAGUCCUGGACUUCACAGCAGAGCAGCAUUGUCUUUGGAGAGGAUUACUUGGCUAGGAUAGAUUAUGUAACCCCGGUAAAGAAGAAUUUGAUAACUCGGAGUUGAAAGAAACUUUACAGCCCUGCUAUUCAAAAUGGCCCACAGUCAGCUUCUGUGUUACCUGGCUAUUUGGGAGAAAUGCAGAAUCUCUGGCUUAGCUCUAGGCCUACUAAAUCAGAAACCAUAUUUUGACAACCCCCCGAUUCUCCGCUCCUUCCAGCUCUACUCCUCUCUAGUUGUGAGUACAUUAAAAUUUGAGAAGUGUAGUUGUCACCCGGCCUAAUUACUUAUCAGGUACUCAGCUCAACUGUGUCAGUCUUACAAACAAAGGACUGAAGAAAGGUUGGUUUAUUGUAUUUUGGCACCUUCGAUUACUGUACAUACACACAAAAAACUGUAUUUACAUUGAGGUCUUCUUUGUAAGAACAGUUCCAUAACCCCCUGUUCAAACCAAUGGGCCUAGAGGUAUUCUGGUAAUCUAGAAUUGUGUAAUAAAGUACUCUUACAACACAAUAUGAAUAUUGAGCAAGAUAUUACAUUGAUUAUUUUGAUAUCACUUAUCAUGUAAAUAAAUGUAUUUUAGCAGAAGUUUGAUAGCACAAAGUUUUUAUAGGCACUAUUAGAUGUCAUUUGCAUUGCAG
Molecule: long non-coding RNA, 1306 nt
Organism: Talpa occidentalis (Iberian mole)
Lineage: Eukaryota; Metazoa; Chordata; Mammalia; Eulipotyphla; Talpidae
Exons: 4
Source: RefSeq, a predicted model, not a curated record